This 252-nucleotide ribosomal RNA is filed under the name uncultured bacterium. RNAcentral's name for it is "partial 16S ribosomal RNA". It matches the Rfam family "Bacterial small subunit ribosomal RNA", at positions 524 to 776 of the family's 1533-position model. The record is from RNAcentral.
UACGGAGGGUGCAAGCGUUGUCCGGAUUUAUUGGGUUUAAGGGUGCGUAGGCGGCCCGUUAAGUCAGUGGUGAAAGCCUCCAGCUCAACUGGAGAACUGCCAUUGAUACUGGCGGGCUUGAGUACAGACGAGGUAGGCGGAAUUGAUUGUGUAGCGGUGAAAUGCAUAGAUACAAUCAAGAACACCGAUUGCGUAGGCAGCUUACUAGGCUGUAACUGACGCUGAGGCACGAAAGCGUGGGGAGCGAACAGG